GGAAACGUGGCUCAGUGGUAGAGUGCUUGCCUUGCAUGCAUGAGGCCCUGGGUUCGAUUCCUCAGCACCA
RNAcentral lists this transfer RNA (70 nucleotides) under Dipodomys ordii (Ord's kangaroo rat). It matches the Rfam family "tRNA". From Rfam's summary of the family: Transfer RNA (tRNA) molecules are approximately 80 nucleotides in length. Their secondary structure includes four short double-helical elements and three loops (D, anti-codon, and T loops). Lineage: Eukaryota; Metazoa; Chordata; Mammalia; Rodentia; Heteromyidae. The record is from Rfam by way of RNAcentral.